AUUGAACGCUGGCGGCAGGCCUAACACAUGCAAGUCGGGCGGUAACACAGGGAGCUUGCUCCUGGGUGACGAGCGGCGGACGGGUGAGUAAUGUCUGGGAACCUGCCUGAUGGAGGGGGAUAACUACUGGAAACGGUAGCUAAUACCGCAUAACGUCGCAAGACCAAAGAGGGGGACCUUCGGGCCUCUUGCCAUCAGAUGUGCCCAGAUGGGAUUAGCUAGUAGGUGGGGUAAUGGCUCACCUAGGCGACGAUCCCUAGCUGGUCUGAGAGGAUGACCAGCCACACUGGAACUGAGACACGGUCCAGACUCCUACGGGAGGCAGCAGUGGGGAAUAUUGCACAAUGGGCGCAAGCCUGAUGCAGCCAUGCCGCGUGUAUGAAGAAGGCCUUCGGGUUGUAAAGUACUUUCAGCGAGGAGGAAGGCGAUAAGGUUAAUAACCUUGUCGAUUGACGUUACUCGCAGAAGAAGCACCGGCUAACUCCGUGCCAGCAGCCGCGGUAAUACGGAGGGUGCAAGCGUUAAUCGGAAUUACUGGGCGUAAAGCGCACGCAGGCGGUCUGUCAAGUCGGAUGUGAAAUCCCCGGGCUCAACCUGGGAACUGCAUUCGAAACUGGCAGGCUAGAGUCUUGUAGAGGGGGGUAGAAUUCCAGGUGUAGCGGUGAAAUGCGUAGAGAUCUGGAGGAAUACCGGUGGCGAAGGCGGCCCCCUGGACAAAGACUGACGCUCAGGUGCGAAAGCGUGGGGAGCAAACAGGAUUAGAUACCCUGGUAGUCCACGCCGUAAACGAUGUCGACUUGGAGGCUGUUCCCUUGAGGAGUGGCUUCCGGAGCUAACGCGUUAAGUCGACCGCCUGGGGAGUACGGCCGCAAGGUUAAAACUCAAAUGAAUUGACGGGGGCCCGCACAAGCGGUGGAGCAUGUGGUUUAAUUCGAUGCAACGCGAAGAACCUUACCUACUCUUGACAUCCACGGAACUUAGCAGAGAUGCUUUGGUGCCUUCGGGAACCGUGAGACAGGUGCUGCAUGGCUGUCGUCAGCUCGUGUUGUGAAAUGUUGGGUUAAGUCCCGCAACGAGCGCAACCCUUAUCCUUUGUUGCCAGCGGUCCGGCCGGGAACUCAAAGGAGACUGCCAGUGAUAAACUGGAGGAAGGUGGGGAUGACGUCAAGUCAUCAUGGCCCUUACGAGUAGGGCUACACACGUGCUACAAUGGCGCAUACAAAGAGAAGCGACCUCGCGAGAGCAAGCGGACCUCAUAAAGUGCGUCGUAGUCCGGAUUGGAGUCUGCAACUCGACUCCAUGAAGUCGGAAUCGCUAGUAAUCGUAGAUCAGAAUGCUACGGUGAAUACGUUCCCGGGCCU
RNAcentral lists this ribosomal RNA (1361 nucleotides) under uncultured bacterium. RNAcentral's name for it is "bacterial SSU rRNA". It matches the Rfam family "Bacterial small subunit ribosomal RNA", at positions 28 to 1381 of the family's 1533-position model. The record is from RNAcentral.